RNAcentral lists this ribosomal RNA (665 nucleotides) under Polysporina arenacea. RNAcentral describes it as "partial large subunit ribosomal RNA". It matches the Rfam family "Eukaryotic large subunit ribosomal RNA", at positions 223 to 906 of the family's 3401-position model. Lineage: Eukaryota; Fungi; Ascomycota; Lecanoromycetes; Acarosporales; Acarosporaceae. The record is from RNAcentral.
AUGUGACCGGCCUUCAUGCUUGUGCGAAGCUCCUUCGACGAGUCGAGUUGUUUUGGGAAUGCAGCUCCAAAUGGGUGGUAAAUUUCAUCUAAAGCUAAAUAUUGGCCAGAGACCGAUAGCGCACAAGUAGAGUGAUCGAAAGAUGAAAAGCACUUUGGAAAGAGAGUCAAACAGUACGUGAAAUUGUUGAAAGGGAAGCGCUUGCGACCAGACUUGCCUGCGGGCGAUCAGCCGGCAUUUGUUGCCGGUGCACUCGCCCGCAGUCAGGCCAGCAUCGGUUUGGGCGGCUGGAUAAAGUCCCUCGGAAUGUGACUCCCCUCGGGGAGUGUUAUAGCCGGAGGUGCCAUGCAGCCCGCCUGGACCGAGGACCGCGCUUCGGCUAGGAUGCUGGCGUAAUGGUCGCAAGCGACCCGUCUUGAAACACGGACCAAGGAGUCUAACAUCCAUGCGAGUGUUUGGGUGUCAAACCCAUGCGCGGAAUGAAAGUGAACGGAGGUGGAAACCCGUCAGGGUGCACCAUCGACCGAUCCUGAUGUCUUCGGAUGGAUUUGAGUAAGAGCAUGACUGUUGGGACCCGAAAGAUGGUGAACUAUGCCUGAAUAGGGUGAAGCCAGAGGAAACUCUGGUGGAGGCUCGCAGCGGUUCUGACGUGCAAAUCGAUCGUC